GCCAGUGCAGCACGACGGGUGGUGCACGCGUCUCGUAAGCGCGCGGAGUCGGUUCGAGCCCGACCACUGGCUCCA
RNAcentral lists this transfer RNA (75 nucleotides) under Phytohabitans houttuyneae. RNAcentral's name for it is "tRNA-Thr". It matches the Rfam family "tRNA". Rfam says of the family: Transfer RNA (tRNA) molecules are approximately 80 nucleotides in length. Their secondary structure includes four short double-helical elements and three loops (D, anti-codon, and T loops). Lineage: Bacteria; Bacillati; Actinomycetota; Actinomycetes; Micromonosporales; Micromonosporaceae. The record is from RNAcentral.